This is a long non-coding RNA of Octopus bimaculoides (California two-spot octopus), 4854 nucleotides long. Lineage: Eukaryota; Metazoa; Mollusca; Cephalopoda; Octopoda; Octopodidae. The record is from RefSeq and is a predicted model, not a curated record.
AACUGCUGGUCUUGAGCCAAAAGUAGAAACAAUUAUCUUGGUAUGUUUAGGAAACAGUUUGGGGCAUUUUCUGCUUUAUUCUGGCCUCAGCAUCAAAACGUAUUUGCUGAAGUAGUGAGGGUGUCAAAAAUUAGAAUACUUUAGAGAGUAAAUAACACAUGAAAAACAAUAAUCAAAGUGAUGUUAACUUAUUUAAUGUAGGGAUUGUAGUGGCGCGAAACUAUGGCCGCCAUUAAGGAUGUACAAUCUACGCAUGUGCAAGGGACUAGCCUUCCCAGAAGCCCCUCGAGUGCGCAUGCAUAGUAAAACCAGUACUUAAAGCGUUACUUUCGUUUUCUAAGUUUCUUCAGCAUGAUGCCUUCGACGUGACAACACCUUACUCCUCAACGAAGCAAUCUUGAGCGCGACCACUUUGACGUGACAGCUACUUGCUCCUCUGGCAUGCAUCAACGAAGCUCUUAACCUUCCAAUACAAGUAAACCAGCGGCUGCUGAGCUGAAUGUCACAUUAUUUGUAAAACCAAGCAUCACCAAAAAUUCAUGGCGUUUGGGGAAGAGGGAGACCCACAAAAACAGGGGACAAAGUGGCAAGGACUGAUCUCAAGAUGUUGUGUGUUGCAGAGCAGAGGACAAAGAACUGAAAUAAUUGGCUUUUUGCUGUGCUCAAGAAGACUCGCCCAUCACAGUGAUAGUGAGAUACUACAAGUAUUAUGCUAAUUCUUGUCCAUGCUGGACCUAUACCCAAUUUGGCUACAUCAAGCAACCUCAUGAAAGACACAUACACAUCUCAUCUUCCUAAUAUUCAUCCCUCCAUCACUUUUCUAACUAUGGUACUACUCAACUGCUGCAAUCAUUUGAGAGCACUAUCAGCACAUACUUUAGCACUACCAAUAACCUCACUUUUAUUAUCAUCCCUGUCCAUGCUACUUCCAACGAUCACCUCACUUUCUGUACCUUCAGUAGUCUCCAUCCCAUGUCUAAGCUAAACCUUAGGUGUUCCAUAUUUCAUCUUUAACACCUCUGCUAUCAUUUUCAACACCUCAUAUCCGCUAUUGAUGAUCUUUCCAUCUUUGUUGCCCUACUUACUUUAGCCACCUUCUGAUCUCCAUCUCUCCCACAGUCUCUCACCCUCCCUCUUUAUUCUCACACUCAGCACCCCAUCUCCCAAAUUUCAUGUGCUGCUAAUUGUCACCUCCUCCUCUCUCAAACACUUCUAUCUCUUCCACCUCCUCCCUUCCAUUCUGAUAUUUACCAUCAACUACAUCCCCACCCUUUUUCAUCACUCACUGCAUCCACCUCUACCUUCACCUUUAAACAUUUGUUACUUUCCUCCUACACCCUUAUGAAAUUACCCACAUUAUCUUUCUUACUAUUUCAUUGUCCAUAUUCUUUACAAAAUGUGAGGUAGUCAUGUAUCUCCUCUAUAGCAAGAUUAAUGACUGUAGCAUAUUAGAGCGUGAAAGCUUGUGGAUGUGGAUCAGAACGGUCAAAUGAAAUUGGGUUGGCUUUGCAAGAUGUUCUCAAGGUCUUAAUUCAUAGAAAUUCUCUGGCAAGCAGUAUCUAGGUUAUGUGUGCUUCUCAUUGUUUUUUCAAAUCCUUAAUAUGCUGUUGACGCAGUUUGAAGCCGUCACAGUUUGACAGAUUUUUGUUUACAAGACACAAAUUAGCUAUUGUGAAUGUAUUCAUCAAUUAGAGCUCUAUAUUAACAAUGUGUUAAGUGUCUACAUUUUAUCAACAGAAGUAAUAAAAUAAUAGAUCAUUAUUUCAGAUGUAUUUAUUGCAAGUAAAUAGGGAUUUAUUGAAAGUUAAAUGUCUCUAUCAUUUUAUAUAUUUUAACAAUGGCUGUUUGUUUGUUUCUUACUUCAUAGCAAUUGUUAGAUAUUUUUCAAGCUGAUUCAUAUUUUCUAUACUAUUUAUACAUAUCCUAUAAUGUCAUUUAAAUAUAUAAAAUUCACAGUUCUAUAUUUAAGAGAUGAGGAAUUAUGUACAUAUUUAUAUUAUUUACAUUUGACGGAUAUUUGUCCUCAUCUUGUUUGUUGUUAACACGUUUCAGCUGAUAUACCCGCCAGCCUUCAUCAGGUGUCUUGGGGAAAAUUUCAAACCUGGGUAUUUUUCAAUAUUAUUAUUAUUGUUCAGGUCACUGCCUGGAAUGGAACUUGGAAUCUUGGGGUUAGUAGCCCGUGCUCUUAACCACUAUGCUAUUUGCCCAAGCAUAUGGCAUAGUGGUUAAGAGCAUGGGCUACUAACCCAAAGAUUCCAAGCAGUGACCUUAAUAAUAAUAAUAAUAUCGAAAAAUACCUUAGAAACGAGAACCCAAGUUCGAAAUUUCCCAAAGACACCUGAUGAAGGCUUGAGGGUUCAUCUGCCGAAAUGUGAUAACAACAAAACAAGAUGAGGACAAAUAUCCAUCAAAUGUAAAUAAUGUAUAUAAAUUCAUUUUAUAAAACAAUUUUAAGCUUACCUUAUAACAAGGGUAGGAACUUUUUUACAGGGUGGAGAUGGCAAAUCUAUAAGAAUCUCUGGAUAUAUGAUAUGACACCAAAGAUGUCAUAUCAUACAGCUUGAAUUUAAUAUGGAAAAAGGACUGCAAUAUCAUGGUUUCAAUUCCUGGACCAGAUAAUGCAUUUUGUUCUUGAGCAAAACACUUCAUUUCACAUUGCUCCAGUCCACUCAGCCAACCAUCAUAUAAGCAGUGUCCUUCAUUUCCAAUCUUCUGUGAAAACAUGUCUGGCCAUGAGAACAUAUCACCUUACUUAGAAAAAAGUGAGCAUUGGUGACAGGAAGAAUAUCCAUAUACAUCCAUAAAAAUAUAUACUGUCACUUUCAGCUCAAAAUAGUACUUGAACAUAUGCCUUUAGUUUUUCUCAAAUAAAGUUUCAAGUCAUCAUCAUAAUUGUCAUUAUUAUGAUUUAACAUCCAUCUUUCAUGCUAGUAUGGGUUGGAGCUGAUGGGUUGAAGGACUGCAUCAGGCCCCAAUGUCAGCUUUGGCAUAGUUUCUAUUGUUUGAAUGCCCUUCCUAAUGCCUGUCACUUUACAAAGUGUAUUUAGUGCUUUUUUCAUAGUACCUGCACUAGUGGGUUGCUAUGUAGUUCGCUAAACUAAGACCCCCUUUAACUGAGUGGGAGUACAGUAAAAAGAGAUGUGGAUUUAUGCUAGGGAAUAUGAAAGAAGAAAUUUGAAUAGGUUCCUUUUGUCAUAUGUUAACCUAAAAAAAAUACCAUAUUCUACUCCAAAAUCUUUCAAAAUGUCUUUAAAUUUUCCAUUGUUCAAUUCUUUAUUUUUAAAUAACUUAAUUACCAUUUUUAUAACAUUGUUGUCUAAGAGAAUGUGAUAAGGUUUUAGAAUCUAGUUAAUGGUUCUACAAUUCUUUUUUGAUUUUAAGUAGCAAGUAUUUUUUUGUUAUUGUGGUAUGAGGGAACUGUAAUGCAGGGAAUAAAAUAUGGUUCAUCUACCUCUUGUUGACUAUCUAGCAAACACCUGCCCUACCCAUCUUACCUAACAAUAGCAGCCGCUACUACCAAUUCCUGCACACUUGCUCAUCCAUUCAUGUCUAUUCACCACCACUGCCCCUGGCUGAAAAGAGGACAACCCUGGUCUUGCUUCCUUCAUUUACUCUCUCUGCCUUCCUGUUCUUGUGGAACCCCUCAGCUGGAUGUCACAGCCCUUUCCUUCUGGUUCAUCUCAUCCCCACAGUUAUCUUACCAAAGAAAGUGCACUGCCCAUAACCAUGCACAUGAAUUUUAUGUAGAUUAAAUCAAAAUUACUUAGAUCUCAGAAAAAAUUAUUUUCAUCUCUAGUAGCCUCAUGCAUUGAUUUUGUACAGGUAAAUUUUGUCUUAGUGAAAAGACUGUCAUUAUCCCAGUCGCAAAAAUAGCUGACUGUGCCAUUAUUUAAGUAUGUCUGUUGCUUCAUUACAUCUCCAAAUUCUUGAUGCUGUUUUUGUUUCAAUGAUUCUUGAAUAACAUCGUCCUUGACAUUUUAUCUCUUCAAAAAUUAAAGCCCUCAAUCUGACUUUUUCUAGUGUUUGAAUUUAUGCAACUUACUCUUCAAGAAACUUCUUUAAUGGUUUCCUUUGCCAUAAAUUCACGCAUUUCACUACUUGUAUUACAUAAAUAUUUUUAUCAAUAUUCCUUUUGAAAACAGCUUAUUGUUAGCGUAGAUAUUCUUUAAAAAGUCUAAUUCCACUUAAUACUGUAUCCCGACCAGUUUUCCUUUAUAUUCCUUAUUAGGCACAGGUGUGGCUGUGUGGUAAGACAGUUUACUUCUCAACCACAUUAUUCUGGGCCAAGAGCCAGCCAAAACCACCUGAGUGGAUUUGAUAGAGGGAAACUGAAGGAAGCCCAUUAUAUUUAUAUAUGUAUGUGAGCAUGUAUUAUUGUCUCCUUGCUUUGACAUCACAUGAUAGUUGUAAGCAAGUGUCACUGUAAUGCAAACUGUCUCCUUUGUUUCCAACCCUCUGUGAAAGCAUGUCUGGUCACAAGGAAACAUUACCUUACUUGGAAACAGGUGAAGAUUGGCAGCAGGAAGGGUAUCUGGGCAUAGAAAAUCUACUUUAACAAAUUCCAUCUGACUCCUGCAAGCAUGGAUAAGUGGAUGUUAAAACAACGAUAAAACACUGGGAAUUAUUCUUAGAUAGAGACUUUCAAGAUUAAACUUUUCAUAAACCGCAUCCCAAUCUUUACAAAUAUGACACUUUUUAUUUACUUCUGUUAAAAGAAACUCCAAAAAGAGCUUUGCCAGCAAUUCUUUUUCUUUUUUCAUUCCUAAUUAUUGUUAAUGAGCUUUUUAUUAUGAAUCUUAUGUAUUAUAAUAUUGAUUUCAAAUCUUUAAUAAAAAUUGACAAUUGUUACCAACA